RNAcentral lists this ribosomal RNA (479 nucleotides) under uncultured bacterium. Its description in RNAcentral is "partial 16S ribosomal RNA". It matches the Rfam family "Bacterial small subunit ribosomal RNA", at positions 28 to 507 of the family's 1533-position model. The record is from RNAcentral.
GAUGAACGCUAGCGGGAGGCCUAACACAUGCAAGCCGAGCGGUAGAGUUUCUUCGGAAACUUGAGAGCGGCGCACGGGUGCGUAACACGUGUGCAACCUACCUUUAUCUGGGGGAUAGCCUUUCGAAAGGAAGAUUAAUACCCCAUAAUAUAAUGAUUGGCAUCAAUUAUUAUUGAAAACUCCGGUGGAUAGAGAUGGGCACGCGCAAGAUUAGAUAGUUGGUGAGGUAACGGCUCACCAAGUCAAUGAUCUUUAGGGGUCCUGAGAGGGAGAUCCCCCACACUGAUACUGAGACACGGACCAGACUCCUACGGGAGGCAGCAGUGAGGAAUAUUGGACAAUGGGUGAGAGCCUGAUCCAGCCAUCCCGCGUGAAGGAUGACGGUCCUAUGGAUUGUAAACUUCUUUUGUACAGGGAUAAACCUACCCUCGUGAGGGUAGCUGAAGGUACUGUACGAAUAAGCACCGGCUAACUCCGUG